This 1523-nucleotide ribosomal RNA is filed under the name uncultured bacterium. Its description in RNAcentral is "bacterial SSU rRNA". It matches the Rfam family "Bacterial small subunit ribosomal RNA". The record is from RNAcentral.
AGAGUUUGAUCCUGGCUCAGGACGAACGCUGGCGGCGUGCCUAACACAUGCAAGUCGAACGGGGUUAUUAAGAAUAGUUUACUAUUUUUAAUAACCUAGUGGCGAACGGGUGAGUAACGCGUGGGCAACCUACCCGCAAAUCUGGGAUAACUUCUCGAAAGGGGAGCUAAUACCGGAUGUGUUUAGGAAGUCGCAUGACUUUCUAAAUAAAGGUGGUGCAAGCUGCUGUUUGCGGAUGGGCCCGCGUCCCAUUAGCUAGUUGGUGAGAUAACAGCCCACCAAGGCGACGAUGGGUAGCCGGCCUGAGAGGGUGGCCGGCCACACUGGGACUGAGACACGGCCCAGACUCCUACGGGAGGCAGCAGUGGGGAAUAUUCCGCAAUGGGGGAAACCCUGACGGAGCAACGCCGCGUGAGCGAAGAAGGCCUUUGGGUUGUAAAGCUCUGUCUUCAGGGAAGAAACCUUAAGAGAGGAUAAUGCUCUUAAGCUGACGGUACCUGAGGAGGAAGCCCCGGCUAACUACGUGCCAGCAGCCGCGGUAAUACGUAGGGGGCGAGCGUUGUCCGGAAUUAUUGGGCGUAAAGCGGCGCGUAGGCGGUCAUUUAAGUCAGGCGUGAAAAACCUAGGCUCAACCAAGGUAUUGCGUUUGAAACUGGAUGACUUGAGGGCAGGAGAGGAUAGCGGAAUUCCUAGUGUAGCGGUGAAAUGCGUAGAGAUUAGGAGGAACACCAGUGGCGAAGGCGGCUAUCUGGCCUGUACCUGACGCUGAGGUGCGAAAGCUGGGGGAGCGAACGGGAUUAGAUACCCCGGUAGUCCCAGCCGUAAACGAUGGGCACUAGGUGUAGGAGGUAUCGACCCCUUCUGUGCCGUAGCUAACGCAAUAAGUGCCCCGCCUGGGGAGUACGGUCGCAAGACUGAAACUCAAAGGAAUUGACGGGGGCCCGCACAAGCGGUGGAGCAUGUGGUUUAAUUCGACGCAACGCGAAGAACCUUACCAGGGCUUGACAUCCCUCGCUAUUCUUGGAAACAAGGAGUUCCCUUCGGGGACGAGGAGACAGGUGGUGCAUGGUUGUCGUCAGCUCGUGUCGUGAGAUGUUGGGUUAAGUCCCGCAACGAGCGCAACCCUUAUCCUUAGUUGCCAUCAUUAAGUUGGGCACUCUAGGGAGACUGCCGGUGACAAACCGGAGGAAGGUGAGGAUGACGUCAAAUCAUCAUGCCCCUUAUGUCCUGGGCUACACACGUGCUACAAUGGCCUGUACAACGGGUAGCGAAGGCGCGAGCCGGAGCCAAUCCUAAGAAAGCAGGUCUCAGUUCGGAUUGCAGGCUGCAACUCGCCUGCAUGAAGUCGGAAUCGCUAGUAAUCGCGGAUCAGCAUGCCGCGGUGAAUACGUUCCCGGGCCUUGUACACACCGCCCGUCACACCACGAAAGUCGGCAACACCCGAAGCCGGUGAGUUAACCAGAAAUGGAGACAGCCGUCGAAGGUGGGGCCGAUGAUUGGGGUGAAGUCGUAACAAGGUAACC